RNAcentral lists this ribosomal RNA (783 nucleotides) under Triticum aestivum (bread wheat). Its description in RNAcentral is "partial small subunit ribosomal RNA". The record is from RNAcentral. Lineage: Eukaryota; Viridiplantae; Streptophyta; Magnoliopsida; Poales; Poaceae.
AUGGUACUUCUUUCGAACUGGAAUGUGCUUUGUUGGAACGUCAGGGGCCUGAACUCCGACCCUAAGCUUUUUGCCUUAUCGAAUGUUGUUUCCUCUAGUGGUUGUGCCAUGAUUUGCUUGCAAGAAAGCAAAAAGCCCUCUUUUGAUAAUAUGUUCCUUAAGUCUUGCUGUCCUAAAAGAUUUGAUAAAUAUGCCUAUAUUCCCUCUCAAGGAGCCUCUGGAGGUAUUGCAACCAUUUGGAACAGUUCUAUUUUCACAGGUACGGUACUUAUAGAGGAAGAAUUCGCUCUAGUAAUUAAAUUCAAAUCCACACAAUCGGCCCAAGAAUGGACCCUAGUGAACAUUUAUGGACCCUAUCAAGGCGAUCUCAUAGUGGAUUACACAAAUUGGCUUUUGAAUUUAAACAUUCCUUCUUCUGAAGAUUGGCUCCUGAUGGGCGAUUUUAAUUACAUACGAAGUCCUUCUAAUCGCAAUAAACCAGGUGGUAACAUUAAUGACAUGAUCACAUUCAAUGACUUUAUACGGUCUCAGGGGCUUAUUGAACUACCAAUUAAGGGCAGGGCAUACACAUGGAGUAACAUGCAGCAACAACCUUUACUUGAACAAUUGGAUUGGUUUCUAACUUCCACUAAUUGGACUAUCACAUAUCCAAAGACUUUGGUAAAACCCCUCGGGAAGCCAGUCUUUGAUCACAUUCCCUAUGUAGUGACCAUUGAAACUACUAUUCCAAAAAUUAACAUAUUCAGGUUUGAAUCCUUCUGGGUGCAACACUCGGGGUUUAUG